AUUGAACGCUGGCGGCAGGCCUAACACAUGCAAGUCGAGCGGAUGAAGGGAGCUUGCUCCUGGAUUCAGCGGCGGACGGGUGAGUAAUGCCUAGGAAUCUGCCUGGUAGUGGGGGAUAACGUCCGUAAACGGGCGCUAAUACCGCAUACGUCCUGUGGGAGAAAGUGGGGGAUCUUCGGACCUCACGCUAUCAGAUGAGCCUAGGUCGGAUUAGCUAGUUGGUGGGGUAAAGUCCUACCAAGGCGACGAUCCGUAACUGGUCUGAGAGGAUGAUCAGUCACACUGGAACUGAGACACGGUCCAGACUCCUACGGGAGGCAGCAGUGGGGAAUAUUGGACAAUGGGCGAAAGCCUGAUCCAGCCAUGCCGCGUGUGUGAAGAAGGUCUUCGGAUUGUAAAGCACUUUAAGUUGGGAGGAAGGGCAGUAAGUUAAUACCUUGCUGUUUUGACGUUACCAACAGAAUAAGCACCGGCUAACUUCGUG
This 484-nucleotide ribosomal RNA is filed under the name uncultured bacterium. RNAcentral's name for it is "partial 16S ribosomal RNA". It matches the Rfam family "Bacterial small subunit ribosomal RNA", at positions 30 to 507 of the family's 1533-position model. The record is from RNAcentral.